Molecule: unclassified non-coding RNA, 305 nt
Filed under: Hevea brasiliensis (rubber tree)
Lineage: Eukaryota; Viridiplantae; Streptophyta; Magnoliopsida; Malpighiales; Euphorbiaceae
Source: RNAcentral
GGGAGAAGAAAAUCAAAGCUUCUUGGAAGAGUUGGAGAGAACAGUUGCUUUACUUGCUUUUGAAGAUGUUUCCAACUGUCCUGUGCGAGACCUUCUGGACAUCUCUCAGCGCUUGAAGACAGCAAGUGAAGUUAAUGCAGCCAUUUUAACAAGUCAAAGUCAUGAAAAAGAUCCGAAACUGCCAAGCUUGUUGAAGAUGUUAAUGUGGGCACAGGACCAACUCGAUGAGAAAGCUGCUUAUCCUCGCAUAAACGAUUUAUCCACAGCUAUGCUUGAAGAUCCUCCUGUUUGAUAUAUGUCAUCUC